GUGGGGAAUUUUGGACAAUGGGCGAAAGCCUGAUCCAGCCAUGCCGCGUGUGUGAAGAAGGUCUUCGGAUUGUAAAGCACUUUAAGUUGGGAGGAAGGGCAGUAAGUUAAUACCUUGCUGUUUUGACGUUACCGACAGAAUAAGCACCGGCUAACUUCGUGCCAGCAGCCGCGGUAAUACGAAGGGUGCAAGCGUUAAUCGGAAUUACUGGGCGUAAAGCGCGCGUAGGUGGUUUUGUAAGUUGGAGGUGAAAUCCCCGGGCUCAACCUGGGAACUGCCUCCAAAACUGCAUGACUAGAGUACGGUAGAGGGUAGUGGAAUUUCCUGUGUAGCGGUGAAAUGCGUAGAUAUAGGAAGGAACACCAGUGGCGAAGGCGACUACCUGGACUGAUACUGACACUGAGGUGCGAAAGCGUGGGGAGCAAACAGGAUUAGAUACCCCGGUAGUCC
RNAcentral lists this ribosomal RNA (450 nucleotides) under uncultured bacterium. RNAcentral describes it as "partial 16S ribosomal RNA". It matches the Rfam family "Bacterial small subunit ribosomal RNA", at positions 354 to 796 of the family's 1533-position model. The record is from RNAcentral.